This 5019-nucleotide long non-coding RNA is filed under the name Stegodyphus dumicola. RNAcentral describes it as "uncharacterized LOC118187860". The record is from RNAcentral. Lineage: Eukaryota; Metazoa; Arthropoda; Arachnida; Araneae; Eresidae.
UAAACAUUGCAUGUGGACAUUGCUUGUAAUUUCCUGUAUUAUUGUGGGAGAGUUUCUUUCUGACGUUUCAGUGUGAUAUAGUCUUUUAGAUACACUUUGUGCAAAAGAAGGAUUGUCUGAAAUUGAAGUUGUAUUUCAAGGAUUCCGUAAUCUAAGAAAAUGAAUGAUGGAAGAGAAGUGGAUAUCUUACAAUAUUAAAGAUGAUUUGUCUUAUCCAUUGUUUAGCUGACAUAUAUAAGGCCAAAAUACCCGUGAUGGCACGGCUUCGAUAUGAAGUUUCGUCAAAGAUUGGCUUGGUUGCUAUUAUUUUUGUACCUCUUCUUGUCUCUCCUGGUCGUUUAUUAUUGUUUUGAACUCAGCGAUCAAUAUAGUGCUUUGGCCCUGGAACAUUCAAAGCUGCAUCAUUCAUCAUUCGAUGAACAAAGUAAUGUUUCUUGGAUAGUAAAAAUGUGGACACACUUACCUGAUGUGCCAUUCUUCCUGUGGGUUUUUAUUUUUGCUAUUCCUUAUCUGCAAAUAUUUUUCUGUUUGUAUAUAUGUACAAAGCCAAAUCCUAAAGAUAUGAUUUCAUUUAUACCUUUCAUAUUUAAUUCUAAAAGACCUCUAAGAUAUGCAAUAUGUAACAUUUGUGCAAAGUUUAUAGGCUUUUGCAUACAGAUCUGCUGAAUUGUAGUACCAUCUGGUUUCAUAUUUUAUAAAUAUUAUUUUUAUUCUCAGGAAUGUAUUAUUCAUGCAUUUUGUAAAUGAAAUGGGAGCUAAUAUAUAUGUAUCCAUAUAUAAAUGCCGUUAUUUUCAUAUUUUCUUUAGCUUAUCGAGUAUUUUAAAAUCAGAUUUUAAUUAUACGUAAUCUAUCAAAAUGUUAUAAAUAUUUGUUGCAAAUUGUCUAGCACAUCCACCAUUAAAAUUCCAUUUUGAAAAAUUCGAAAUGAAUAUACUUAUGUUCUUGUCCAUCCAUACCUAUUGAUAGUGUGAAAAAAUUAUGAAUUCUCAAAAUUUUCUGCCUUAUUAUAUAUUUUAUAAUAGAUAAAUGGCUAAUUUUCUCUUCAUUUAAAUCUAAUAAUUUUUUGAAAAUGAAGAUUUUUAGAAAAUUGAAUAAUCAUAAUUGGUAUUAUGACAUAGGUCAUAAAAAUGGGAAUUUAAAAAAAAAUGUUUGCUAUGUCAAUUUGCAUCUAGCGGUUUUUCAUGGUUCACCAAAUAAAUUUGUUCUUAUUUUGUUAGUUGAGGCUAGAAAUAUGAGAAUUUUAAAAAAUUAUAUGUAUUGUGCAUAUGUAACUGUUGCCUAGCUUUCUUUAGAUCUGUGGCUGUAUUACAGAAACAGUAAGAUUCACUGAAUGAUAAAUUAUGAAAUAACUUUUGUCACCUAUGCAAAAUUAAUUUUUUUGUAUCUGUGAUAUUGAUACACACAUAUAUAGUAGUGACGUUUUUUAAAAAAGAUUACAUGCAUAUACAGUUAACUCCUUCUAAUAUGAUGACCUACGAUUUCAUGUAAUUUUGGUCUUUUUUAGUAAAUUAAACCAAAUCUAAAAAUAGUGAUUAAACCAAGUCUAAAAGUAGCGAUAAUUUUUAGAGCUGGUUGACAUGAAGUUCACUGUAUGUAUGCAAUUUUUUUUAACUUGAUGCAUUUAUAUAUACAUAAAAGUUAUGUUUAAACAUGUUAUAUACAAAUUAUGCUGCUACAUUUUGUGCUUGUAGUGUGAAAUACUGAUUUUUAUUAGUAAUUUACAUUUUGAAUUGUAUUCAUUAUGCCUGUACUUGAACUAUUCAUAAACUUUUUUAUUUGUGGAGCUAUUUUAGAAUUAAGUUCUAUGAUGGAGUUCCAUAGGCCCACUCUGUGUCUUAGUUCUUAAUGUCUAAAAGUAGUAUUAUCAGAAGGAAAAGACGAUAGAUAUUAGUAAUAUAAAGACAUAUCUAAACAAUUGCAUAAUAUCUGUCAUUCAAAUGAUUUCAAAAACUUAGAAAUUUACCAUACUAUUUAAUUUUAUUCUCAACUAGCAUCAGUUCCCAUAGUAUUUUCAAAAUUUGCCAUACAAAUUUUAUUUUGAAUUUCAACAAAUGAAAUGUUUGUUGGCAAGAGUAAAAAAAAAUGCCUAGAGUAAACACAGUUUCUUCAAUUUAAUCAUUAAGUCCAACUCAAUUAAUUACAUAUUCUUUCAUUAUUUGUUAUGCAAAAUUUUUGGUCAUUCAUAACAGAAAACAAUUUUAAUUUAAUUUUAUUACAGUACACUGUAAUAGGCUUGUAUUAAGACAUAACAUAAAAUAAUGUAAAAAUGUUUAAUGAGAUAUAUGUGGUUGCAAUUUUUGGCACAGUUUUCUUAUUUCAGUCGAUGAUAAUUGCUGGUGAAUGUCUGGUUCUACAUUUAAAUGCUUCUGCAUUUUGUUUUAGUACAUAGUGGAAAAUCUUGCUUACAGAGAAAUGUAACUCAGAGAGGCAGCAAUACUAAUUUUGCAUUCUCAAACAAGAAUUCAUCUUGUAAAUGCAACCAAAACACUGGGUUGACUUUGAUUCACAAUUUUUAGUACUCUGAGAGAUGUUAGAUCUGUAAUGAUGCGAUAGUUUGCUGAGAUUAAACUGGGUAGUUUUUGGUUCAUGCUGACCUCAUUCAGAACCCAUUUAAAAAGUCAUCAAAUAUUUUGUCUUCAGCUGUUGGAAAAUAACACUCAAACAAGUCUUUCAAAGCUUUGAGAAUGUGUAAAUAUAUUUUUAAAACCUUUUUCUUGAAUUUUGAUGUUAUUUUCAUUCAACAGACUUUCUGUAAUGGGAUGCAGUUGAUGUCAUCUUUACCAUGCACUACAGUCAGCACAUAAGUUUCUUCCUAAAAGAAGAUACUUGGACAUUUGCAUUGAGAUCAAUUUUUUUAUCAUUCUGCUGAAAAUAUUGGCCAAAUAAUGCCAUUUACAUGCCCAGGUUUCAUCAUUUUAAACUGUUACCAUUAGAGAGCUAUGUCCAUCAAAAAUGCUGCUUGCUACUUCUGCAUGCAGUUUUACCAAGACUUUACUUCAGUGUGUAACAGGAGGGUCUCAUGGUGGCUUUUUAUAUCUUCACACAUUGGUUUGAAAAGUCUGCUUUUAAGAAGACAAGAUUUUAUAUAGUUUAUUACUUUUAUAGCAUCAUUUAACACAAGCAUAAGCUCAGAAAGUAUCUUUUUCAAGGCUAGUGCAUGUCUGUGAAGAAUGCAAUGACUGCUGUUACAUUUUUUAAUUUAAUUUUAGCAAUGGCUCCAGUACUGUGAGCAUUGUGACCCAUCAUCAUCAUCAUCAAUACAUGUAAAUGCAGAGUUUUCGUAUGAUAUUUCAUUUGUUGAGAAAAAUUUAUCCAAAAGAUUAAAUAUCCCACCUCCUGAUAGUAGUUGCAAAGUAAUCUGCAAAGAAGCUACUGUUAUAGAGUAAAGUAACAAAUACCAUUAAAACUACUAACUCAGCAAUUCCAGUCAAUUAAUCCAUUAGCAAGCCAAAUUUUCGUACAUCUGAUGGGACUGAUAAGUGUUUCUUUCACAUCAUUAGCCAUAUUGCUAAAUUGUUGAACAAAGGUGUUAUCUGACAACCAUCAGUGGAAUAUGGUACAAAUUAACUAGCCAUAUUAUGAAUGUAUAUUCUGAAUUUAUCAAUGUUAAUUUUGUAACUGCUUAAUACAAAUAUUACAAAUUACCUACAUAUUUUACAUCAAAUUAACAUAUAAUUUUAGGGUAAGGGGGAAAAAGAUCUUGUUAUAUUUCUACCAAAAUCGUGCCUAGGUUUAUCCAUGAUUGAUCAAAAUUUUUCUCUAAAUAGCUCUUGAGUGAUUUUUUUUUUAAACCAUCACCUUGGGCUUGUUAAUUUUUUAUGAGAAAUAUGGCAACAAGCUUGCAGGCAUUUGAAAAAUGUGCUCAUCUGUAUAACACUAAUAUUCCAAAUUUUGAGCUUUCAAACUUUAUACCUUUGUUUAUUAUUCUUUGUCAGUAGAAUUAAACUCUUAGUUUUGUGUCACAAAUAUAUUGUUGUAUAGAUAAAGUAUCAGUGAUCGAGUUACAUACUUGCUCAAUCUCUGACUUAAAUUGAUGAGUCAUGAUUUAAAAUACUGCUAUGCAGAUGUUUUAUUUCUGUACUUACUCUGUUUUUUCUUUCCAAAGAAAUUUCUUAUGAUUCUUUAAAUGAACUUUGUUAUUAACAGUCCCUUGAACCAAAUUAUUUUAGAAUUACUGCUUUGAGAGUCGUAAACUAAAUGAAGGAGCACAAUAGAUAUGUAGAUAUAGCUAAGUCAAUAGCUUUAGAUCCAUGUUUGUAAAAAUUAUGACUUAAAGAGACAUCCGAAUCCCCACUUUAUCUUUGGAAAUUAUUUCAAUUCUUUUUUGGAUAAGUGAAAUUACAACACUUUCCUGCACAAUAAUGAAACACUCAUCAUCAUGAUGAAAGAUUUUAAAUGCCUUUUUUCUGCUGCACUAUAUGAAUUUUUGUUUCAUUAUUAUUUAAGGCAUGUGUUCAUAAGCUAGACAAAAAGAUAAAAAGUAACUUUUAUCCCUCAAAAAAAACUUACUAAUCUCUGUUCUAUAAAAAAAUAAUAUUUGAGAGUGAAUGCCGUGUUAGUUUAAAACUGUAAUAUUCUACUAAGUUUUACAAAAUUUUCUUUCAUUUAAAUAAACUGAUUAGAAAUAAAAUUAUGAUCCAAAAAUAAUUCAAGUAAAUUUUGAGUUUAUUUUUUGUAUAAAUAUAUUAAUGUGGGUGAAGUAUAUGUAGAAAUAUCUGAAAUAGAGUUGGUAAAAAUUUUUGAUCUUUAUACUCUUUUGUAUCAAACUUUUGUUUUAAAAUAUGACAUAUAAUCUAAGAUGUUUAGUCAAGUCAGUUAAAUUUUAAUAUUGUUUGUCAUUUCUCUAAAGUUUAAGUCAAAAUAUUAUGUUUGUAAUGUGUAUGACUAUUAUAACAUACAGGGGUUGGACAAAAAUAUGGAAACACCUUUAAAAAAACAUGUUUCUUUGCUUAAUGUGGUGUAGGAAACCCGUUGGCAUCCAAAACAGCUUGCAGUCUUCUCGGAAUGGAUAAAUACAG